CGAAAUUCGUAUUUCGUACUGUUUUAUUCGAAGGUUAAAAAAGAGAGAGAAAACUAAACACCACACGCUUCCAAAGCGAUGCUGUCAGUAUGUAGUUACAUUUCCAAUUGUACUUGUUAUGGUUGUUGCUGUAGUUGUGAAUGCGCAAGCGGGGUCGACGCUUGUUCUUUGGGUGGCAGCACAUAUGUCUUCUUCGAAUGGCGUUGCCAGAACCACCUUACAAAGGCUCAUCACUUACCGAGCACAGCCAAUGCCACUGCCGCUGCAAUCACCCACCAAAGCCAACUGGGCGCUUUAACGCGUACAGCCUCAAUUUUACAGCUAUGAUAUCUCGUUGAGUUGACAGUUUGGUUGUAUGGAUCUGGACA
Molecule: long non-coding RNA, 368 nt
Organism: Zeugodacus cucurbitae (melon fly)
Lineage: Eukaryota; Metazoa; Arthropoda; Insecta; Diptera; Tephritidae
Exons: 3
Source: RefSeq, a predicted model, not a curated record